Molecule: ribosomal RNA, 923 nt
Filed under: Steinernema anomali
Lineage: Eukaryota; Metazoa; Nematoda; Chromadorea; Rhabditida; Steinernematidae
Description: partial 16S ribosomal RNA
Source: RNAcentral
AAUAUUUUAUUUUAUUAUUAAUUAGUAUUGCAUACUAUUAUAGGAAAAUUUUAUAUAUAUAAAAUAUAGAAACAGGAGGUAAAAAAACCUUUAGGCUUUAUUGUUACAAAAUAAAUAUUAUUUGGUUUUGGUUUUGAUAAAACGUCUUCUGUGAUAUCUGUUUAUUUUUAAACUAUUAGAAAAUUAUAGUUUAUAUUUUUAUAAAAGGAAAAAUAAAAUUUGAAGUGUUUUUAUUUUAUGUUUUAUAACUUUUUCUUAAAUUUUAAUUUUACUUAUUUCUUUUCUUUUUAUUUUUAAAAAGAUUAAUAAUUUAUAAAUUAGUACUUAAAAAAAAUUUUAUUUUUUGAUAAAAUUUUAAUAAGAGAACUUGAGUUCUUGGUCAAAUGUUUUUUAAAGACUUAGGCUUUAAAUUAAAGCUGGCUUCUGCCCUAUGAUUUUUUAAAUGGCAGUCUUAGCGUGAGGACAUUAAGGUAGCAAAAUAAUUUGUGCCUUUAUUGGGUUCCAGUAUGAAUGAAGUUAUUGGCUGGUUAUUUUCUUUUAUUAUAAAGGAACUUAAUAUUUAUUUAAUAAAAAAUAAUUGUGAUUAAACAAAGAUAAGUCUUCGGAAAUUCUUUUUAUAUUUUUUCUUUUGUUAAAAUAUAAAAUUUUCUAGGGCAGAAAUUUAUAUAAUUAUUUUUACUAAAAAUAACUUAAUGAAUUACUCCGGAGUUAACAGAAAAUCAUAUCUUAUCCAGUUCUUAUGGUAGUGAUAAGUUUUACAUCGAUGUUGUAUUCCUAUAAACUGGAAAAGGAGAUGGUCUAGUUAUUGAGACUGUUCUUCUUCUAAAUAAUAGGACUUGAUAUUAGUUUAAUUCAUUGUGAGAUAGAAUUGUUUAUCUUGUUAAUCACUAAGAAAUAAUAUAUUUAUUAAAAGGAAAGCAUGA